AACGAACGCUGGCGGCAGGCCUAACACAUGCAAGUCGAACGCGCGUAGCAAUACGCGAGUGGCGCACGGGUGAGUAACACGUGGGAACCAACCCAGAGGUUCGGAAUAACCGCGGGAAACUGCGGCUAAUACCGGAUAUCCCCUACGGGGGAAAGAUUUAUCGCCUCUGGACGGGCCCGCGUCCGAUUAGCUAGUUGGUGAGGUAAUGGCUCACCAAGGCGACGAUCGGUAGCUGGUCUGAGAGGACGACCAGCCACACUGGAACUGAGACACGGUCCAGACUCCUACGGGAGGCAGCAGUGGGGAAUAUUGGGCAAUGGAGGGCAACUCUGACCCAGCCAUGCCGCGUGGGUGACGAAGGUCUUCGGAUUGUAAACCCCUUUCGGGAGGGAAGAUGGGACGGGCAACCGUUCGGACGGUACCUCCAGAAGCAGCCACGGCUAACUUCGUGCCAGCAGCCGCGGUAAG
This 468-nucleotide ribosomal RNA is filed under the name uncultured bacterium. RNAcentral describes it as "bacterial SSU rRNA". It matches the Rfam family "Bacterial small subunit ribosomal RNA", at positions 29 to 524 of the family's 1533-position model. The record is from RNAcentral.